AGCCCCAUACCCUUAGCGGCCAAUAGGAUCGGUCUUUGGAACCGAAUUGUCCCCGGUUCGAAUCCGGGUGGGGCUA
Molecule: transfer RNA, 76 nt
Filed under: Haloarcula vallismortis
Lineage: Archaea; Methanobacteriati; Methanobacteriota; Halobacteria; Halobacteriales; Haloarculaceae
Also listed under: 1 other name
Description: tRNA_Gln_TTG
Rfam family: tRNA
About the family: Transfer RNA (tRNA) molecules are approximately 80 nucleotides in length. Their secondary structure includes four short double-helical elements and three loops (D, anti-codon, and T loops). Further hydrogen bonds mediate the characteristic L-shaped molecular structure. tRNAs have two regions of fundamental functional importance: the anti-codon, which is responsible for specific mRNA codon recognition, and the 3' end, to which the tRNAs corresponding amino acid is attached (by aminoacyl-tRNA synthetases). tRNAs cope with the degeneracy of the genetic code in two manners: having more than one tRNA (with a specific anti-codon) for a particular amino acid; and 'wobble' base-pairing, i.e. permitting non-standard base-pairing at the 3rd anti-codon position.
Source: RNAcentral